GAACUAGGCAGUUUUCUGAUCAGAGUUCAGAUAAAGAAAGUCACAGUAAUUUGUGGCCACUGACUAAAAUAACCCCGGGGAUGGGAGAGUUACCACAUAAGAAGCAAACUAAAAAGAACUGCAGCGCGGAGCAUCUGUGGAGACUUCUGCAGACUAUAUUUCAGGCUGUUCGAGAGUGCGCGCUGCAUCAAAAUCCAGCCAAUAGCAGGGGGAGCCUUACCCUCCCUAGCCUCCAUUUGUUCCCCUACCUGAAGCAAGGGUGUGCUGCAGCUGUGAGGUGACCGCCCAGCCCCCUCCAGCCCCCUCCUGCCCGGCUCAAACUGCAGAGGCAUUAAGGCAAGCUUCACCUGGUUUAAAGGAGAACCCUGCUAAUAUCAAAGCUGACUUCUGGCCACCCUCACACGUUCGUUUCAUGGGCAGGUAACCUCCGAGGGAAGGCAUACCUGUAAAAGAUGAUUUGGUUUGGGUGGCUUUAAAUUCAAACGGAGCAGUUUACUUUGCAGCCCCUGGUGCAAUAUGAGAACAAUCCUAAGAAGGAAGAAGGCAGAGAUCAUGGGCUGCUGGCUGCUCAUUGGCAGACGCAGGACCUCCGAAUUCUACAGCUCUAAUUACCUUUCAAAAGCAAACCCAUUUCCGUGUGUAUAUUUGUAGAGGAUGAUUGGGAAGUAUGCAGCGGAGAAAGAUCACCAGUUCAAUCACAAAAAUCAAUGGGUUAGAUACAGAGUGGAAACCAAAGUGCCGGUUCGGCCACCAUCUAAGUCCCUUUGUACUUUUUCCCUCCGGAAAGAAAUACAGGCUAUUGACAAUACGAUCAGUGUGGGCUCUUUGGUCAGAGCAGCAGAAACUGAACUCUGGUUAGUUUCUUAUUGAAAGCCUAUGAGGACAUUUACAGAAUAAAAGGAAGGCUAAAGGAACGGACUCAGACGACAGGGCCAGGCUUUGACGAAGUCUCUACAACACGCUAUAGGACUGUAACUUGCUGCUGGUAGAAGGACAAUCACCAGCUUCCUAUUGUCUUUCUUCUCAUCACACUCAAGUGGCCUGAGUCUCAGCCCAGUGUCCCUUUGUCCAUGGGUUCAUGCCUAUAGGUUUUACAAAAGCAGUGCCCUCCAUUUGCCGAAUCCCAAAGUCAUCUGGCGGAAGAGGAGGAGCCACAGUGCUCCCUCGUGGGAUGACAGUACUGUUCCUAAAAGGAUGGGGAGAGUGGACCUUCUUUCCCUUCCAGUGACACAUUUACUGCUAUGGAUGCGGCCGCUAUAUAUAAUCUUCGUACCUGGGUUGAUGAUUUUUUUUUUCAUUUCUGGCUCAUUAUUUUUCAGUACUGUGGCUGGAACCCAGGGCCUCAUGCAUGCUAGGCAGCACUCUACUUCGGAGCUACACCCCCAACCCUCAUCUUUUAAAAUUCAGUUUUGAGAGAAGAGCACUCUGGCUUUGAACUUGCAAACCUACUGCCUCUGCUUCCCAAUUAGCUGUGAUUACAGGGAUGUGUCACCAUACCAGGUUAACUCGGAUUUAUAACCUUGUCUGUCAUGGCUACUCAUUUGGGAAGGUCAAAUGAACCGACAACAGGGAACAGAAGCAGUAUGGAUAACUGCACAAGGACAAGAGGCCUUUAGCAACCUUUGCCAAACUAAGUCUUUCUUUUUGUGUUCAGCAUCUUUUGCACCAGCAUCUCUUUUGUGCUUGGCGUGGUAUGUGACUUGUGGACUGUUACUAUGGAGUUAUCAUUCCCUACAUUUCUACGUAGCUGAGGAGUAUGCGAGUGCCCCAGUGCUCACAGUGAGAGACAUAACCAACCCCUUUCUCUCUUUGGGGACUAUUCUUUUCUUCUAGGGGUGUUACCCAUGGGAUUACCUUUGCCUCAUAUAAAUGAAUAAAGAAUUAAAUGAUCCC
This 1893-nucleotide long non-coding RNA is filed under the name Mus musculus (house mouse). RNAcentral's name for it is "RIKEN cDNA 6330576A10 gene". Lineage: Eukaryota; Metazoa; Chordata; Mammalia; Rodentia; Muridae. The record is from RNAcentral.